Long non-coding RNA from Pyrus x bretschneideri (Chinese white pear), 721 nucleotides. RefSeq lists it as uncharacterized. NCBI's taxonomy places the organism in Eukaryota, Viridiplantae, Streptophyta, Magnoliopsida, Rosales, Rosaceae. The record is from RefSeq and is a predicted model, not a curated record. The transcript is spliced from 3 exons.
AUGGGUUGGAGAAGCCUCUGUCAAAUGUGGGCCUACUAAAUCCCCACAGGCCCAACUUAAAAGGCUCAAUGAAAUUUAUCCGAAAAACCCAAAAGCAAAACCAAUUUUUAAAGGCCAUUUUUGAUAGCCCUUUCUCGAAGCAUGCAGCCCCAAUCUUCUUCCUCCCUCCUCUGCUGCACUGAGUGAACUCGCUGAAGUCGACAACUCGGAGCUCGACCAGCCCUCCUAUGGCUUUUGCUCACCACCCAAUAUCCAUUCUUCUCAAAACUUCAAAGCCCAAAGACUUCGAUUCUGAAACCUCCUCUUCCUCCUGCUCCUUCUUUUUCCUCCAUUUCUCUUCCUCUCAAACCUCGCAAUCUCUCCUUGUUGUCAAGGUCCCUAAUUCCAGGGCAUAAAGGUAAUUACAGUUCUCCGCCGUCGGCGCAGGUUCAGCUGCGGACGCCUUCACUAACUUCAAAGCAUCUUCUGCUGCCCAUCACCGACGGGAACCCACAUCUCUCCGAGGGCACGAGACAGGCUAUAGCUACUGUUGCUGCUUUGGCGAAGAAGUAUGGGUCUGGCAUUACGGUUGUGGGUAUGUUUACUGUGAUCGAUGAACAGCAGAAGGAGUCUUUGCCGCAACACGAAACCCAGCUUUCGACUAUCCGCUGGCAUCUCUCUGAAGGUUUGUGUAUUGUCUCAUGUGGAAUUUGAUAUUAUAACUUUGAAUAUUUAUCGAGGA